Molecule: ribosomal RNA, 406 nt
Filed under: uncultured bacterium
Lineage: Bacteria
Description: partial 16S ribosomal RNA
Rfam family: Bacterial small subunit ribosomal RNA
Source: RNAcentral
GAUGAACGCUGACAGAAUGCUUCACACAUCAGCAAUUGAUUGGUGGCGGACGGGUGAGUAACGCGUAAAGAACUUACCUCACAGUUAGGGCCAACAUUUGGAAACGAAUGCUAAUACCUAAUACUGUGCGAGAGCUUUGCGUCCCAUUAGCUAGUUGGAGAGGUAACGGCUCACGAAGGCGCUGAUGGGUAGCCGGCCUGAGAGGGUGCUCGGCCACAAGGGGACUGAGACACCGCCCUUACGCCUACGGGAGGCAGCAGUGGGGAAUAUUUGACAAUGGACCAAAGUCUGAUCCAGCAAUGCUGUGUGCACGAUGAAGUUUUCGGAAUGUAAAGUGCUUUCAGUUGGGAAGCGGUACCAACAGAAGAAGUGACGGCUAAAUACGUGCCAGCCGCCGCGGUAAUAC